AGGAAUCAAACCCAGGGCUUCAUGCAUGCUAGGCAAGAACUCUACACUAAGCCACAUUCCCAGCCCCAGGAGAAAGGACUUCUGGAGCCAGCCUCUGUGGGUUGAAAACACAGCACCAACACUCACCAGUUCUCUGACUUUGGGUCAAUGGCAAAACUGACCUUAUAGGGUAGAUGUGAGGAUUAGUGGAGUUAAUUUAUGUAAAAUGCUUACAACAGUAUCUGCACAAAGCAACUACCAUAUAAAAUGUAGCUCUAAUUUCUGUGGUGCAUGUUGCAAAUUUAUCCAAUGAAUUAAACAGCCUAUAGGUUUGAGACAGCUCUAUUGUAGAGAUUCAAGGAUAUUAUGACUUAUUUGCAAUAACAAUUCUUAGGAAAACAUUGGGCAGAAAGGAGAUCUGGGACCAGAAUGUCUCUAGCUAUACUGGUGUGGAGAACUUGGCAGAGGAGGAGAACUACACUGCAGAUGUUUCUCUCUGGCUGCCAUGCCCUUUGAGGCACAUGACCUAGGAUGAGUAGAAACUCACUGGGUGUGGGAAACACUUGUGGACUGUCCUAGCCUCAUUAUAUCACGACACAAAAACAGAUUCUUCUUCAAGUAGGCUCCAAAGCCAUUUAAGAAAUUCACCUAAGUAUGAAGAUUUAGUUCAAUGAGAGAGUGCUUGCCUAGCACAAUAAAGAAAAAAACAACAAGAAACAGUUGGGGGAUUUCUAUUAAGUAACAAAGCAGGGCAAAGACUUCCCUAGGCAUGUUUUUGCUUCAUUAUAUAGAAUACUAAUCAAGACAGGCAGUCAUAGAUAACUUAUACUAUAGCAAGGCAUGGAGGCACUCAUCACCCAGGCUGAUCACACUGCAAAGAUAGCUGUGGAUCGCUCUUGUUUUGUGAGAGCUCACAGUGUUCCUUCCUCCCUUCUGACUAGAAACUCUGUACUGUAUCCUCUUCUGUUCCCUGGUCAGUACUCCAUGUAACUGACAUAUUCUUUCUCUUUCUUGCUUCCCAUUCCUCAGUACCCAGGCUUUAGCUCCUUAAAUCACAGCAUAUAUGUGUUUAGCCAAAUAAUUUCUUACAUUAAGAUUCCUCUGAGUCUAUUACAACACAUGGCUCCUAAAGGAAUGAUGGGAAGGGGGCCAAAGGGAGGGAAGCAUGGGGAGGGAAUAGAUUAAAAGCCAUUUUAGGGAGAACAAUGUUUAUAGAAUAUCACCUUACUCUAGGGAUUGCAGCCAGGGCAUGGUAAAUGGGCACCUUUCCCCUUAUUAAAAACAAUGUGUUAUCCACUGCUAGGUAAGUCUCUGUCACAACUAGAAAGAGUUGGCAGCAUGAGAACACAGAGUAAGAGUGUAAAAGAUUUCAAGAAGCAAGGGGAGGGCAUGGCACCAUGCCAGAAUUUAUCACUAUUAUGGAGCCUGGUUUGACAUAGUCAUUGUAUAGAGCAGGUUUCAUGUGUAUCAUUACAUCAGUAUCCAAGGAGGCGGAGUAUUAGAAAAGGACUCUAUCUGAGCGUCUUUUGUUAACUGACAUAAAAGAUCCAAGGGCUGGGGUGUAGGAUUAUCCUCCUGUGAAUUCUCAGCACAUUUGGUGAGCUC
This is a long non-coding RNA of Perognathus longimembris pacificus (Pacific pocket mouse), 1584 nucleotides long. RefSeq lists it as uncharacterized. The record is from RefSeq and is a predicted model, not a curated record. Lineage: Eukaryota; Metazoa; Chordata; Mammalia; Rodentia; Heteromyidae. The transcript is spliced from 3 exons.